CCUACGGGUGGCAGCAGUGAGGAAUAUUGGUCAAUGGGCGCGAGCCUGAACCAGCCAAGUAGCGUGAAGGAUGACUGUCCCACGGGUUGUAAACUUCUUUUAUAAAGGAAUAAAGUGAGGCACGUGUGCCUUACUGUAUGUACUUUAUGAAUAAGGAUCGGCUAACUCCGUGCCAGCAGCCGCGGUAAUACGGAGGAUCCGAGCGUUAUCCGGAUUUAUUGGGUUUAAAGGGAUCGUAGGUGGGUUGUUAAGUCAGUUGUUAAAGUUUGCGGCUCAACCCUAAACCUGCAUUUGAUACUGGCAGUCUUGAGUGGGGUAGAAGUAGGCGGAAUGCGUGGUGUAGCGGUGAAAUGCUUAGAUAUCACGCAGAACUCCGAUUGCGAAGGCAGCUUACU
RNAcentral lists this ribosomal RNA (395 nucleotides) under uncultured bacterium. RNAcentral describes it as "partial 16S ribosomal RNA". It matches the Rfam family "Bacterial small subunit ribosomal RNA", at positions 338 to 730 of the family's 1533-position model. The record is from RNAcentral.